UACGGGGGGGGCAAGCGUUGUUCGGAAUUACUGGGCGUAAAGGGCUCGUAGGUGGCCAACUAAGUCAGACGUGAAAUCCCUCGGCUUAACCGGGGAACUGCGUCUGAUACUGGAUGGCUUGAGUUCGGAAGAGGCGAGUGGAAUUCCCGGUGUAGCGGUGAAAUGCGCAGAUAUCGGGAGGAACACCUAUGGCGAAGGCAGCUCGCUGGGACGUUACUGACGCUGAGACGCGAAAGCGUGGGGAGCAAACAGG
This 253-nucleotide ribosomal RNA is filed under the name uncultured bacterium. RNAcentral describes it as "partial 16S ribosomal RNA". It matches the Rfam family "Bacterial small subunit ribosomal RNA", at positions 524 to 776 of the family's 1533-position model. The record is from RNAcentral.